CCUACGGGUGGCAGCAGUGAGGAAUAUUGGUCAAUGGACGGAAGUCUGAACCAGCCAUGCCGCGUGCAGGAUGACUGCUCUAUGAGUUGUAAACUGCUUUUGUACGAGAAUCAUAGUUCUUACGUGUACUGCUUUGAAUGUAUCGUACGAAUAAGGAUCGGCUAACUCCGUGCCAGCAGCCGCGGUAAUACGGAGGAUUCGAGCGUUAUCCGGAUUUAUUGGGUUUAAAGGGUGCGUAGGCUGGUAGAUAAGUUAGAGGUGCAAUCCCGGGGCUCAACUCCGGAACUGCCUUUGAUACUGUCGGGAUAGAGUUUAGUUGAGGUAGGCGGAAUGUAUGGUGUAGCGGUGAAAUGCAUAGAGAUCAUACAGAACACCGAUUGCGAAGGCAGCUUACCAAACUACGACUGACGUUGAGGCACGAAAGCGUGGGGAGCAAACAGGAUUAGAUACCCUAGUAGUC
This 460-nucleotide ribosomal RNA is filed under the name uncultured bacterium. RNAcentral describes it as "partial 16S ribosomal RNA". It matches the Rfam family "Bacterial small subunit ribosomal RNA", at positions 338 to 795 of the family's 1533-position model. The record is from RNAcentral.